GAUGAAGAACGUAGCGAAAUGCGAUACGUAAUGUGAAUUGCAGAAUUCAGUGAAUCAUCGAGUCUUUGAACGCACAUUGCGCCCCCUGGUAUUCCGGGGGGCAUGCCUGUCCGAGCGUCAUUGCUGCCCUCAAGCCCGGCUUGUGUGUUGGGCCUCCGCCCCCCGGCUCCCGGGGGGCGGGCCCGAAAGGCAGCGGCGGCACCGCGUCCGGUCCUCGAGCGUAUGGGGCUUCGUCACCCGCUCCGUAGGCCCGGCCGGCGCCCGCCGGCGACCCCCCUCAAUCUUUCCAGGUUGACCUCGGAUCAGGUAGGGAUACCCGCUGAACUUAAGCAUAUCAAUAAGCGGAGGA
RNAcentral lists this unclassified non-coding RNA (349 nucleotides) under soil metagenome. RNAcentral's name for it is "partial contains 5.8S ribosomal RNA, internal transcribed spacer 2, and large subunit ribosomal RNA". The stretch from base 1 to 120 matches the Rfam family "5.8S ribosomal RNA", at positions 35 to 154 of the family's 154-position model. The record is from RNAcentral.